GCUGCGCAGCCAGAAGGAACUGGAGGAGCUGCUGCAGUCGCAGGAGAGCGCCAAGCUGCUGUACGAUAUCCUGCAUGUGGCCCAUUUGCCGGAGAAGGACGAGGUUACCGGCUCGACGGCGCUGCUGGCGGCUAGCAAGCAAUUUGGCGCCGGAUCGCACAAUCGCUUCAGGAUGGCGGCAGCCGCAUCGCGAAGGGGUCGCCGAUGAUGCUCUCCAGCAAGGAUGGACCUUAAAAGUAUUAUGUAUGCUCAGCUUACAUGCAUUACCGCCUCGCCUCUUCCCAUUGAUUAUGACAUAAUUAAUUACAAAUUUAUGUAAUAAUACUUUCCAGAAACGGGCGACAGAACAACCAGAACUCUCUCCGGCUCUGAAGAGUUGAGCACACAGACAGCGCACAAUUAUGGAAAUUUUUUUAAACGUUGCAAUUAAGUCGACUUGGGAAUGGGUUGCGGAUGCAGCUGCAGAUGAGGAUUGCAGGACAUCAAAAGGGCAGUGUUAUCCCAAUGCGUCUGGUUACCCAGCUUCAUGUUUGCCCUCGCUUUUUGUUGCGCCUCAUUGGGCAAAGCGCGCUUAGAGCGUGUUUCUGAUUGUUGGCAUUAUCUCCGGAUCCGGUUGCCACGUCCUCCGGAAUGAGGCGGGAAUUUCGGCUCGCACAUACACAAACUAACUUCAUGCUUCCUGCAUACACUGAAAGAAUGGAUGUGAGCUCAUCAGUAUAUAGAAGUUAAAACGUUAGACUUUCGAUUUAUAACAAUGAAGAGCUAUUUUCAGAUUUUUUUUAUGCUUCUCUGCUGCAUUUCAAUUUGCAUGUGCACCAAAUGCAUUUGAACUGAGCGUGAUUUGCGAAUAAAUAACUAUAUACCCGUAUACAUGCGGCUGUACAGUAGUUACUGGCUUAAAGGAACGCUAAACAAUGACUGGAUCGUGCCUUUUGCUGGGCAAGGCACUGCUGCUGCUUAUCAUAAAUGACAAAUCUAGAAGUGAAUGCGAAUGCUAAACGACCAACAACUAAAUGGGCCAAAAGACUCUGGAAAAUGGGAAAAUGCCUGGCGCUCCAAUUUUCCUGCAUUUGGUGUAAAUGUAAAUGUAAACGAUAUAAUCGCCAGUCUCCAUCUUCUUUAUUU
This is a non-coding RNA of Drosophila melanogaster (fruit fly), 1125 nucleotides long. NCBI's taxonomy places the organism in Eukaryota, Metazoa, Arthropoda, Insecta, Diptera, Drosophilidae. The record is from Ensembl.